Molecule: non-coding RNA, 401 nt
Organism: Pelobates cultripes (western spadefoot toad)
Lineage: Eukaryota; Metazoa; Chordata; Amphibia; Anura; Pelobatidae
Source: the annotation of a GenBank genome assembly
GCACUGUUAAUUUGAUAAAUCUGUUAAAUUUCCUUAUUGUGAUAAAAAAAAUAGUUGCUAUAUUUUCUAAGCACUAGCAGAUUAAACUAUAUUAAAUGGCACUUGUUAAUUACUCCUUCCAGCCAGCAUAAUCAUUCCUGUCAGCAGCAGCAGCAACCAUAUUGUUCGGCACCUGGCUAGCAGAUCAUACAUUUACCUUGCCUAUUCGGCAGACAGGACACAGCUGUUUAACAGCUGGGGUCAGCAUGUUAAAGAAUCCUCCCAUUAACUUACAGAUGUAUAACUAAUAAGAACCCAUUACUCUAACGCAGCAAGUAAUAUUGAUUUUAUACUUUCAAUACCCAUAUAGGUUCAAAAUUUAGGUUCCAGGAAUUCACCUGCAAUAAACAAAAUUAUGUCAA